This 73-nucleotide transfer RNA is filed under the name Lepocinclis steinii. RNAcentral's name for it is "tRNA-Arg". It matches the Rfam family "tRNA". Rfam says of the family: Transfer RNA (tRNA) molecules are approximately 80 nucleotides in length. Their secondary structure includes four short double-helical elements and three loops (D, anti-codon, and T loops). The record is from RNAcentral. Lineage: Eukaryota; Euglenozoa; Euglenophyceae; Euglenales; Phacaceae.
GUCACAGUCGCUCAAUGGAUGGAGCAGCGAUCUUCUAAGUCGCGUGAUGUAGGUUCGAUUCCUAUCUGUGAUG